RNAcentral lists this transfer RNA (71 nucleotides) under Urocitellus parryii (Arctic ground squirrel). RNAcentral's name for it is "Spermophilus parryii (Arctic ground squirrel) tRNA". It matches the Rfam family "tRNA". Rfam says of the family: Transfer RNA (tRNA) molecules are approximately 80 nucleotides in length. Their secondary structure includes four short double-helical elements and three loops (D, anti-codon, and T loops). Lineage: Eukaryota; Metazoa; Chordata; Mammalia; Rodentia; Sciuridae. The record is from Rfam by way of RNAcentral. RNAcentral also lists the same sequence under 1 other name.
GUGGUUGUACCUCAGUGGUAGAGCACUUGCCUAGUAUGUAUGAGGCACUGGGUUCAAUCCUCAGCACCACA